Long non-coding RNA from Haliotis rufescens (red abalone), 2505 nucleotides. RefSeq lists it as uncharacterized. The record is from RefSeq and is a predicted model, not a curated record. Lineage: Eukaryota; Metazoa; Mollusca; Gastropoda; Lepetellida; Haliotidae. The transcript is spliced from 2 exons.
UUGCCGUAACAGGCCACAUUUCUUGUCAUAAGAGGCGACUAGCAGGAUCGGGUGGUCAGGCUCGCCGACUUGGUUGAUGCAUGUCAUCGUAUCCCAAUUGCGUUGAUCAAUCCCUGGAUUGUCUGGUCCAGACUCGAUUAUUUACAGACCGCCGUCAUAUAGCUGGAAUAUUGCUGAGUGCGGCGUUAAACAACUAACAAACAAUAGAAGUGGGUAGCUGGGUUUGCCUACACCAAUGUAGAACUUGUUCUUGUCAUUCAUGGCCGUGAUAUGGCUGGAAUGUAUACAUAGAGUGGCUUGGAACAUUACUCACUUAUUUGAUAGAAUAUCGCUGGGUAUAGGCUAAGGGGAAUUCAUUUUUAAAGUCAUCAAAAUAUUGUUUAGGCUAUAAAAAUAAAUAUAUAAUUGGUUCUCAGGCAAUGGCUUUUGAAAAUAUAGUGUGGGCAGGCAGUGUUUUUGUUGUUCCAACUAGUAUGUAACCAAAUAGACUGAUGUGUAGCCAGGUAAACAGUUGUGGGAAAGGUCCUCCCUACCGAAAUGGAUUUCUUGAAGAGUAAAAUACUGGAAUACAGUAUUUGACUACCGUUUGACUUGGAAUAUUUAAGGAAUUUUUGGGUUUUUAAAAAAAAAUUGAAAUAAAAAAUGAAACGUGCUGCAAACUUUGUGAUGAUGCGGGCUAUGCCUGAGAACCAAGACUAUUUGGGGGGGGGGGGGGGGGCUUACAUUAAGGUCAAUUGAAAUAUUGGUUUCUUGACUAUUGAAAUGUAGAUUUUGUAAAGUGACAUAUAGAUUUUGUUUAUUACAGUUUAUGUAUUUAAUACUUUGCCUACUUAGUGGAUUUACCUAUUUUCUAAGGUCUUUUCAAAUACUAUUUCCUGUUUUUCUGGUGCUAUCGGAAGGGUAUAACUGUAUUGUACUAUUUUUCAUUGAAAAUAGAAAACUGUCUGCUGUGAACAGUUUGUAGAAUAUGCUAUUAUUAUUUGUGCCAUGAAUCUGUAGAAUUCCAUCAUGUAGAUGUGCCCGACCAGGGUUGCACAGGGAUACAAAUUGAGUCUGUAGUUUGGAAAACACAUUCAUGACUUGUAUCCUGGUUGGAGGCCCGAUCUCCGCCCAUCACUGCACCUGUUCCCUGUUUAUACUGGAUGUUGACCGGAAAAAUGUGGCUUGGACUGGUUUAUUGGAGGGCUAUUGGUCCGUGGCCAGUAGAAAAAUGGAAUACCAUUAUGUGAUCUCUACUUCAUUAAUCUGUAACGUUGUAAAUAAAUUCAGAUUGAUUAUGAAAAAAACUUGCAAUGAUUUCUGUGUGAAGGAGUGGCCAUGUUGGAUUUAGUUAGUUAGUUCUAUUCAAGUCCUGAGCCACCAUCAAUGAACAUUUCUUGCGAACCCUGCAGUCAAGCACCAGCUACAUGCUGUUUCAAGCUGCCUAUUGAACAUGAUGAAGUCAGCACAGUAACAUAUUCACCAUACUAAGUGCACCAGGUUCUUACCUUGUGUAUGAUUUUAACCAGAGAUCAAGUGGAAGAGAACUAAAACGCUUUUGAUGAUACACCUGUAGUUGCUUGGCAGACAUGCAGCCCCUUGCCACUGCUGUACUUUCUGUGAACAGAUCUGCGACAUUCACGAGACAAUAGAGAUUGUCAGUGUGUACCGAGCACAUGUAAAGAUUACUUACAGAUUCAUCUAGAAGUAAGUCAGGGGGUGCCUAUUGGAGCGGUACUUUUCAAAUUAAUUGUCGCUGUGUUAGUCCAUGAUCAUGUGAGCAAACUAUUGCAAUUUUUGCAAAAAAUUCAUCAGGUAUUGAAAUCUUUAAUAUACAGUAAACUACCUUUAUAACGAACUGGUGGAGUAACGAACUGUAUAUGUUGUGUAUAUGCUUAUAUAAACGAACGUUUAUACGAAACUAAAACUAGUGGUCCCUUUGAGUUUGCUGUAAGCGUAGUUUACUGUAUAUGGAGGUCUGUUGGACAGAACAUACAAAAUGUGUUUCGGACAUCUCAGAAAUUGUAGGCAGAAAACAGAUAGAAGAAUAUUGUGACAACUUGCUAAUAGUAUUUGGGACACACGUUUUAUUAUGUGUCAGUCAAAUUGUGGCAAGAAGGGCUGAUAACUCCGUCUGGACUUAAGAAAAUUGGAUUUAUCCUCUGUACUCUAGCUAGAGAAUUAAGAUAUAUGGAAAAAGUAAUCUUAUGACUCUAUGUCUGUGCUUUGUUUUAUGUUGUGAGAACCGAGAAGGGUUUGUCUUUUAGUGGUGGAGUGUGUUUUUGUCUAGCUUGCUGCUAUGUCCUGUCAUGGCCAACACCACCGCUGCUGCUGCUGCUGCAUGCGCCGUUACGGAAGACGCCAUUUCUACUACAUGUAUUGUGAGAGUGUUGUCCUCCUAUUGUUACCACAUCGUGGUUUGUAUGACGUUCUAGAUUAUAGGUUGUCGAUGCCGUACCCAGUAUACUCUCAUUCUAUAUGGCACCUAAAUUCAAUCUAUUUUAAUAAAAUACAAUCCAAUAUUGA